GGAAGCGUCGCAUAGUGGUUAGUGCAACAGGUUGCUAACCUGUGUCACCGAAAGGUGACUCGUGGGUUCGAAUCCCACCGCUUCCG
RNAcentral lists this transfer RNA (86 nucleotides) under bacterium. RNAcentral describes it as "tRNA-Ser". It matches the Rfam family "tRNA". From Rfam's summary of the family: Transfer RNA (tRNA) molecules are approximately 80 nucleotides in length. Their secondary structure includes four short double-helical elements and three loops (D, anti-codon, and T loops). The record is from RNAcentral.